Molecule: long non-coding RNA, 1489 nt
Filed under: Triticum aestivum (bread wheat)
Lineage: Eukaryota; Viridiplantae; Streptophyta; Magnoliopsida; Poales; Poaceae
Description: long non-coding RNA (TAES_LNC014458)
Source: RNAcentral
AAUCUGGUAACAGUGAGAUAAUAGUAGAAAUCUGGUAUUUAGCUAAAAUACAACUAGAUAAACAGAUAACUAGUCGAGUGAGCUAAAACGCAUUGCUGGGUGUGGAUUUUCUUCAGGAUUCUUCUUCCUAGAGCUCCAACUUCUGAAUACUGAAGGCCAACAUCUACAAAUAAUAAAUUAAGAUAAGUUAGAAACAUAAUAAAGUGAAUCCAUGAAUAUAAAAUUCUCAUAACAAUGAAAAAUUGCUGCAAAACUUUAGAUUUAACAGGAAACGAUGCAUAUGACAUUCUCAUAAUAGCGAAAACACAAAUAUAUUUUGUAAAUGAUAAGUACCAGCACAGUGCAAGUUAACACAACAGAUGGACAGUACAAGCUGCAAGCAAAUGAUUUUCCACUUUAGAACAGGGCACAUGCAUCAAUUUUUAUAGUCAGGAACAAAGAAGACAAUGGUGGAAGAGGCCAAAGAGAUGAAAUACCCUGGGGGGCCGAAGAUGGUGAAAUGAUGGUCUGCUUGUUCUUAGACAGCUCAAGGAGCACCUGAUAUCAAAAAAUAGGCGUUUAAAGGGGAAAAUAGCCCGAUUGUAGGCUCCAAUCAGCCUGCAUACAACAAGUAAUAAAACUGUUAGGAGAGAGUAUACAGUUACCAGCAGCAUGCAUAAAACAACUUGGAUGUUUUAAUAUUUAUUAAAAAUGACAGGCCAGGUUUCAAGUAUAAACGACUAAUGGAGCAUGCAACAAAUGUAUUUGAUACCAACUUAACUAAUUCCACAUGAAUAUUGUACGUUCCAAUAUACACAAUCACUCCAAGAUUAAGCUUAUUCAGCCAAUAAAAUAAAGAGGAUCACCACCAUAAUGGACCAAUGGGUACAAAUCGACCCAAAAAAUCCCAGAGAAGCUAAAGCACAAAAAUAAUCAACACUCCCCAGAAGCAUGCUGAAUUAAUCAUUUAAUCCCAACAUCUAGGUACCACACUACAUAAUAUCACACAAUUAAAGAAGAAUGUUCGACAGUUCAAGACAUUCAGGAAAAUAAAUAAGAACGGGAUUGCACAGGCGAACUUGUACUAUGCAUAAAUGGCAAUCUAACUCGAAACAAGGAACAAAUUUUCCCCAUGCAUGUCCCUGUACAGCCUAUACAACAUUUCUACAUAUGCUUCAAGAGGGCGGACAAACCCAGCUUGAUUUGGUACAUCAACCCAUAUAGACACAUAUCAUGUUGAAUAAGAAAAGCAUGCAUGGUACACUCAUCCUAAUUAACGUGGUAGUAGCACAUUCUCAUAUGAAUGGAACAAGUAGUCGCACAGCUUGAUGAAUGGAUUAAAACUGAGACGUUUAAUUAUCUGCAGAAUUGAAAUUGUUCAAAACAUGCAGUUGUACUAUCGGAAGUGUAUCUGCAUCAGACCUUAGCAAUCAAAAAUGAUAAAUGCAGAAGCAAAACGAAAGUAAUAUUCUUGAUCUAUAUAUACAGCUAAAAGGAGUACAUGAAAUGC